UACGUAGGGGGCAAGCGUUGUCCGGAUUUAUUGGGCGUAAAGAGCGUGUAGGCGGCCAGACAGGUCCGUUGUGUCGGUGGUGAAAGCCCCGGGCUUAACCUGGGAAUGGCCAUGGAAACUGGCGAACUGGAGUGUGGCAGAGGGGGGUGGAAUUCCCGGUGUAGCAGUGAAAUGCGUAGAUAUCGGGAGGAAUACCGAUGGCGAAGGCAGGUCUCUGGGCUAUAACUGACGCUCAUGCACGAAAGCGUGGGGAGCAAACAGG
RNAcentral lists this ribosomal RNA (262 nucleotides) under uncultured bacterium. Its description in RNAcentral is "partial 16S ribosomal RNA". It matches the Rfam family "Bacterial small subunit ribosomal RNA", at positions 524 to 776 of the family's 1533-position model. The record is from RNAcentral.